Non-coding RNA from Ciona intestinalis (vase tunicate), 234 nucleotides. Lineage: Eukaryota; Metazoa; Chordata; Ascidiacea; Phlebobranchia; Cionidae. The record is from RefSeq and is a predicted model, not a curated record.
CGGCGAAGAGCCCUACUUUAUAAUCACUACAUUUUACCAAAAAAUACUUUAUAAUUACAGAAGUGACGCAUACUACGAAUGUGUGGCACGAUUUUUCACACUCACUGAAUACCAUCCUUGCUGCACAGCUAAAAUGGGUCGCUCAGACGAUGUUAUGGCUGUGACAGACCCAAGACUUCGAGUAUACAAAGUGGCUGGGCUGCGGUUGGCAGACGCCUCAGUUUGGCCAACAAU